UUUGGUGUCUUUCAUGCAGGCUCCUGUCAUCUGCCCACUUGGCUUUCUCUAGGCACUUCCAGCUUGCUCCCUCACCAACUACUACUCCCUUAGCUCUGUGGAUCUAUUAGCACCCACCCUGGGGCAGGUUUGAAUGAAGAAACGUGGAUCCUUGAAAGAGUUUCAAAUUUGAAUCUAGGUACAUUAGGCUCCAUCCUUCCAUCCUCUGCCUCCAUCCCAGAUCCCUUGGCCAGUGAGGGCCAAGAAAGGGAACUGAAAAACAAGGAGCCAAGAGGCAGGCAAGGGCGGUCGAUCAGAAUCCUUCACCCUCCUCUCUCCUUCCAUUUUCCAGAAGCCAAGGAGAAAUAGGAAAGCCCAGCACAGUCUCCGCCCCCAAGUUAAGGAAUGCAAAAGGUGAGGGGUCACCAUGGAAACGGCCGAGCCAGGAUCUGUUGGAAAGGAUUUGGCCCGAAGAUUCUAAACUCUAUUUAGCUCCGGGCCUUAAUCACUGCAGAGCGAAGAAUCUUAUAAUCACAAAGACGGGAAGAAUCUUAGAAGUCCUCUGGCUCAGAGAUUCUCCAAAUGUUCAGACUUUAUCAAAAUUGAAAAUUUGUAAUAAAUGAACGAACCGGUGAUAGAAGCGGCCGAGGGCUUGGAGUCUGGACAAACACAAACAUCACACAGACGCAACUCUCUUUGUGCCAACAAUCAUUUUACAUCCCAUAUCCAAAAAGGGAGGAAGGUUCCAUUCUACACAGAGGAGAUUCAGCUCAUAAAUGUAUGCACUUUAAGCAGGGACGGGGUGGUACAUGCCCGCAAUCCUAGCACUUGGAAGGUGGAGACAGAAGAAUCAGGCUUUCAAGAUCAUCCUCAGUGAGCAAAAUUCGAGGCUAGCUGGGCCCCACGAGAUGAGGCCAAAAUGUGCUACUUUACCAGUCAUUUCUCCCUAUUUCACGCACGAGCUCCCGUCAGAGAGGAGGGUGGAUGUUUGAAAACUACUGCUCCGGUUUGCAGCUUUAAAAGUAUUUUUUUUAAUCUA
Long non-coding RNA from Rattus norvegicus (Norway rat), 1018 nucleotides. RefSeq lists it as uncharacterized. The record is from RefSeq and is a predicted model, not a curated record. NCBI's taxonomy places the organism in Eukaryota, Metazoa, Chordata, Mammalia, Rodentia, Muridae.